GUGCUCAUGUUGAGACCACAUUUACUAAAAUUAGCACGAUACAGAGAAGAUGAGCGUAGCCCGUGUGCGAAAAGGGAAAGAAAAAGCGUGGGGUGGAGAAAAGCUCU
Molecule: small nuclear RNA, 107 nt
Filed under: Chinchilla lanigera (long-tailed chinchilla)
Lineage: Eukaryota; Metazoa; Chordata; Mammalia; Rodentia; Chinchillidae
Source: RNAcentral